ACUCCUACGGGAGGCAGCAGUGGGGAAUAUUGCACAAUGGGGGAAAGCCCAUCGAUGCAGCCAUGCCGCGUGUGUGAAGAAGGCCUUCGGGUUGUAAAGACACUUUCAGUGGGGAGGAAAGGUUGUUGGUUAAUACCUAACAGCUGUGACGUUACCCACAGAAGAAGCACCGGCUAACUCCGUGCCAGCAGCCGCGGUAAUACGGAGGGUGCAAGCGUUAAUCGGAAUUACUGGGCGUAAAGCGUGCGCAGGCGGUCUGUUAAGCGAGAUGUGAAAG
This 277-nucleotide ribosomal RNA is filed under the name uncultured bacterium. RNAcentral's name for it is "partial 16S ribosomal RNA". It matches the Rfam family "Bacterial small subunit ribosomal RNA", at positions 335 to 600 of the family's 1533-position model. The record is from RNAcentral.